RNAcentral lists this long non-coding RNA (203 nucleotides) under Capsicum annuum. RNAcentral's name for it is "long non-coding RNA (CANN_LNC019215)". Lineage: Eukaryota; Viridiplantae; Streptophyta; Magnoliopsida; Solanales; Solanaceae. The record is from RNAcentral.
AUGGUAGAUAAAUUUAAAAUACUUAUUUUGUAUGCACUUAAAGAUAUAAAAGUAGUAGAUAUAAGAAAAAUCAUAUUAGAAAAAGCAUUUGGUAAAUAUUAUAUGACUAGAGUAAAUUAUAUACCAUACCUGCCAAACUACUCUUACAAAUACUUACCAUGAUAAAUUACAUAGAAUUUUUAGAAAAAGAUAUGAGCAACAUA